GAUGAACGCUAGCGGCAGGCCUAACACAUGCAAGUCGAGGGAGAAGCCCUUUCGGGGGCAGAAACCGGCGCACGGGUGCGUAACGCGUAUGCAACCUACCUUUCACAGGGGGAUAGCCCGAAGAAAUUUGGAUUAAUACCCCAUAAUAUUAUUGAAUGGCAUCAUUUGAUAAUUAAAACUGCGGUGGUGAAAGAUGGGCAUGCGUCCUAUUAGCUAGUUGGAGUGGUAACGGCACCCCAAGGCUACGAUAGGUAGGGGUCCUGAGAGGGAGAUCCCCCACACUGGUACUGAGACAGGGACCAGACUCCUACGGGAGGCAGCAGUGAGGAAUAUUGGUCAAUGGUCGGAAGACUGAACCAGCCAUGCCGCGUGCAGGAAGAAUGCCUUAUGGGUUGUAAACUGCUUUUAUAUGGGAAGAAUAAGGCGUACGUGUACGUUGAUGACGGUACCAUAUGAAUAAGCAUCGGCUAACUCCGUGCCAGCAGCCGCGGUAAUACGGAGGAUGCGAGCGUUAUUCGGAAUCAUUGGGUUUAAAGGGUCUGUAGGCGGGCUAUUAAGUCAGGGGUGAAAGGUUUCAGCUUAACUGAGAAAUUGCCUUUGAUACUGGUAGUCUUGAAUAUCUGUGAAGUUCUUGGAAUGUGUAGUGUAGCGGUGAAAUGCUUAGAUAUUACACAGAACACCGAUUGCGAAGGCAGGGGACUAACAGACAAUUGACGCUGAGAGACGAAAGCGUGGGGAGCGAACAGG
Molecule: ribosomal RNA, 747 nt
Filed under: uncultured Capnocytophaga sp.
Lineage: Bacteria; Pseudomonadati; Bacteroidota; Flavobacteriia; Flavobacteriales; Flavobacteriaceae
Description: bacterial SSU rRNA
Rfam family: Bacterial small subunit ribosomal RNA
Source: RNAcentral